UGNNNAGUCGAGCGANCAGACGAGGAGCUUGCUCCUCUGACGUUAGCGGCGGACGGGUGAGUAACACGUGGAUAACCUACCUAUAAGACUGGGAUAACUUCGGGAAACCGGAGCUAAUACCGGAUAAUAUAUUGAACCGCAUGGUUCAAUAGUGAAAGACGGUUUUGCUGUCACUUAUAGAUGGAUCCGCGCCGCAUUAGCUAGUUGGUAAGGUAACGGCUUACCAAGGCAACGAUGCGUAGCCGACCUGAGAGGGUGAUCGGCCACACUGGAACUGAGACACGGUCCAGACUCCUACGGGAGGCAGCAGUAGGGAAUCUUCCGCAAUGGGCGAAAGCCUGACGGAGCAACGCCGCGUGAGUGAUGAAGGUCUUCGGAUCGUAAAACUCUGUUAUUAGGGAAGAACAAAUGUGUAAGUAACUAUGCACGUCUUGACGGUACCUAAUCAGAAAGCCACGGCUAACUACGUGCCAGCAGCCGCGGUAAUACGUAGGUGGCAAGCGUUAUCCGGAAUUAUUGGGCGUAAAGCGCGCGUANGCGGUUUUUUAAGUCUGAUGUGAAAGCCCACGGCUCAACCGUGGAGGGUCAUUGGAAACUGGAAAACUUGAGUGCAGAAGAGGAAAGUGGAAUUCCAUGUGUAGCGGUGAAAUGCGCAGAGAUAUGGAGGAACACCAGUGGCGAANNNGACUUUCUGGUCUGUAACUGACGCUGAUGUGCGAAAGCGUGGGGAUCAAACNGGAUUANAUACCCUGGUAGUCCACGCCGUA
This 767-nucleotide ribosomal RNA is filed under the name uncultured Staphylococcus sp. RNAcentral describes it as "bacterial SSU rRNA". It matches the Rfam family "Bacterial small subunit ribosomal RNA", at positions 56 to 804 of the family's 1533-position model. The record is from RNAcentral. Lineage: Bacteria; Bacillati; Bacillota; Bacilli; Caryophanales; Staphylococcaceae.